Molecule: ribosomal RNA, 497 nt
Filed under: uncultured bacterium
Lineage: Bacteria
Description: partial 16S ribosomal RNA
Rfam family: Bacterial small subunit ribosomal RNA
Source: RNAcentral
GAUGAACGCUGGCGGCGUGCCUAAUACAUGCCAGUCGAGCGAACGGACGAGAAGCUUGCUUCUCUGAUGUUAGCGGCGGACGGGUGAGUAACACGUGGAUAACCUACCUAUAAGACUGGGAUAACUUCGGGAAACCGGAGCUAAUACCGGAUAAUAUUUUGAACCGCAUGGUUCAAAAGUGAAAGACGGUCUUGCUGUCACUUAUAGAUGGAUCCGCGCUGCAUUAGCUAGUUGGUAAGGUAACGGCUUACCAAGGCAACGAUGCAUAGCCGACCUGAGAGGGUGAUCGGCCACACUGGAACUGAGCCACGGUCCAGACUCCUACGGGAGGCAGCAGUAGGGAAUCUUCCGCAAUGGGCGAAAGCCUGACGGAGCAACGCCGCGUGAGUGAUGAAGGUCUUCGGAUCGUAAAACUCUGUUAUUAGGGAAGAACAUAUGUGUAAGUAACUGUGCACAUCUUGACGGUACCUAAUCAGAAAGCCACGGCUAACUACGUG